This 67-nucleotide transfer RNA is filed under the name Marmota monax (woodchuck). RNAcentral's name for it is "tRNA.Gly". Lineage: Eukaryota; Metazoa; Chordata; Mammalia; Rodentia; Sciuridae. The record is from RNAcentral.
GGUUGUGGCUCAGUGGUGCAGCGCUUGCCUACCAUGUGUGAGGUACUGGGUUCAAUUCUCAGCACCA